Long non-coding RNA from Solanum pennellii, 951 nucleotides. RefSeq lists it as uncharacterized. NCBI's taxonomy places the organism in Eukaryota, Viridiplantae, Streptophyta, Magnoliopsida, Solanales, Solanaceae. The transcript has 2 exons. The record is from RefSeq and is a predicted model, not a curated record.
UCAUUAAAUCACGUCUCGAUGCAAAUAAGUUUUUAUGUACAUUUACCUAAACACUACUCGUGAAAGACUGUUAUAACAAAAUGGGGAUAGUACAAAUAGUACCCUUUAUUUUUUUUACCAAUUAUAACCUUUUGUGAAUCUUCACAUCCUUCCUAUUUUUUCCUAUAAAAAGACCCCUCUCUACUGCUACAACUCAAUAGGUUAAAUUCCCAAAUAUCUAUAUUUCUUCUUGCCCCAAAUAUUUAGCCCUAAAAGUAUCCUUUCUUUUCCCCAAGCCCAAAAAAAAUAAAAAAUCUUCAAUUUAGUUGUUUUAUUUUUUUAUUUUUAGGUUAUAUAAUUGAAAUUGAUAGGAAGAAAGAGUGAUUAUUGUUGACAGAAGAUAGAGAGCACUAAUGAUGAUAUGCUAAUUUCAUUCAAUUUGGGCAGCAAAAGCAUCUCAAUUCAUUUGUGCUCUCUAUGCUUCUGUCAUCACCUUCACCUCUUUCGUAAAAAUAUUUAAAUCUGUGCGAUACAACAACUUAGGUUGCGCCCUAUAGGUUUUCCAACCAAAAAUUAUACUUAAUUAAGUAUCAUAGAGUUUUAAAUCUGUAUAAUUUUGAUUUGUUCGUAAUUUGGUUUUUAGAUCUGAAAGUGAGAUUGUUCAAUUACUAUGUGUGUAUUUUUGCAGCGGACGAUCCAAAUCUUCUGGGUUUUGACAAGUACUCAACAAAUAAGCCAUAUAAAAGCAGUCCAAAAGAUGUCCGGCUGAAUUUCAGGUUACGCAGUUGUGACAGUUCCGUUUUUUUCCUUUUCUAGUCAAAUUACUUGGCCGAAAUUUUCGGAACAAACUUUUUCCAAAAAAAAAACAAAACAUGUAUUUAAUAGAUAUUAUUUAUUUUAGUUACACGUAUAUUGAUAAAUUCAUGUAUUAACUUUAUUAUUACUCUCUUCGUUCGAUAUUAUUUGUCAUAA